This is a long non-coding RNA of Daphnia pulicaria, 762 nucleotides long. RefSeq lists it as uncharacterized. The record is from RefSeq and is a predicted model, not a curated record. The transcript is spliced from 5 exons. NCBI's taxonomy places the organism in Eukaryota, Metazoa, Arthropoda, Branchiopoda, Diplostraca, Daphniidae.
AUUAUACUUAUAUUCCUGUGAUUUCAAAUACCAAAUUGAACUUCAUAUCUUAUAUGCAUAGAAGUCAGUCAUCACAACAAGUUGACUAAGCACUCAGUCACUUUCCAUCCAUUAGAUCCUCAUGCUGUCAAAAGCCUAAAACUCAUGUUUGAAGCACAGCACACAUAUAGUGGAAUGAAAAUGUGUGGAUUUCAGGAUUUCCUAUUACUGCAACAACACAUACCACGCCGCAUCAGAUGCCUUACUAAAUCAUCACCCACAUGAAAAAGGAAAUUUAUCCCACCUGAUAGUAAUGUGGUUGGUUGCUGUAAUUCCAUUAUUACGGUUUUUCAUCAUGAACAUUUCAGUGUGCUUCUUAGAAAAGAGCACUGCACGAACAUCCUUGAGCCAAUGCUGGAUUUGUCCAUGACAGAAGAGGGACUUCCACCAACGUUCUUCUCCAUCCUUAUCUUCAAGACGUACGCUCAUCUAGCUUCACUACUUCAGUGCUUCUUAUGCUUCUAGUCCUGUUACACAACUUUUCUUGCUUCACUGGCGAGUUGGGUCACUUCAGUUGCUGUGACACACCUACAGUCACUCACCACGGGAUUAUGGCCAGGUAAUGCAGAGGAAACGUCGAAAAGAUGGACACCAAAACGUCGCCGGUAUCUCUUAAAUGUCAUCGCGGAUCAUAAUUUGUUGUGGGUAAUAUGUUUUCGUUUGUGUUAGUUAACCCGUUGGCUGCCACGCCUUUGUUCUCCCCUAGCUCCUUAGCACGGGCCG